GCACUGCUGAAGAGUCUCAAACAGGACAAAACAGCUGUCCAGUGC
This is a non-coding RNA of Echinostoma caproni, 45 nucleotides long. The record is from Rfam. Lineage: Eukaryota; Metazoa; Platyhelminthes; Trematoda; Plagiorchiida; Echinostomatidae.